GACUUAUAAAUAAAUAAACUACAAUCUUCUUCUCUUUCAAUUCAUAGUCUAUCUUCUUGAAGCACCAUUAAAGUACUCUUCAGAUCAUUAAGAAUACCUUCAUGGUAUCAAAGCAGGAGAUCCUAUUCUGAGGAAAAGAGAAGUUGAAUUGGUUGAUAUUAAUCUAGUUUCGGCAUUAAAAAGAAUCAAAGCUUCCGCAAAAGAGAUUUCAAGUUCAAGAUCUGAAGUUUUUUUCUGAAGAUUCAGAUUAUAAAUGACGAAUGCAAAUGGUAAUUCUGUGAACUCUGAUGGUCUUGUGAAUGGCUUAGCAUCUAACAAUAAUGGAAAUUCUGGAAAUCCAGUGAAUCCUAAAAAUUUUGCUAGUCAAGGAUCUUUACACUGGCAAGGUGAGGGAGGUUGAAAAAGAAGAUGCUGGACUGUACUUACUUCUCAAUCAUCUUACUAAGGAUCAACUACAACAUGCCUUAUGUGUGGUGAAAGAUAAGCAGCAGGAUAAGUAUACCAGUCAAAAGUAAAUGUCAGAAGAAGAGAUAAGUGUGUGGCAUAAAAGGCUAGGACAUAUGUCUUCUCAUAUGUUAAGUCAAUUAUUUUCUGUCAAUAAUGAAACUAUUAACAAGUCUCUGAGUAAAUGUAGUGUAUGUCCCUAUGCAAAGCAUACAAAAACUUUUUUUCUACUUAGUAGUAUUAAAAAUAAUGAA
Molecule: long non-coding RNA, 698 nt
Organism: Solanum dulcamara
Lineage: Eukaryota; Viridiplantae; Streptophyta; Magnoliopsida; Solanales; Solanaceae
Exons: 2
Source: RefSeq, a predicted model, not a curated record